AUUUAAAUAAUUUAAAAUUAAAAAUUUAAUAUUGAAAAUAUUAACAUAGAAUAAAUUAUUCUUUUAAAUA
Molecule: transfer RNA, 70 nt
Filed under: Telenomus remus
Lineage: Eukaryota; Metazoa; Arthropoda; Insecta; Hymenoptera; Scelionidae
Description: tRNA-Phe
Source: RNAcentral